RNAcentral lists this ribosomal RNA (440 nucleotides) under uncultured bacterium. Its description in RNAcentral is "bacterial SSU rRNA". It matches the Rfam family "Bacterial small subunit ribosomal RNA", at positions 338 to 775 of the family's 1533-position model. The record is from RNAcentral.
CCUACGGGUGGCAGCAGUAAGGAAUAUUGGUCAAUGGACGCAAGUCUGAACCAGCCAUGCCGCGUGGAGGAUGAAGGCCCUCUGGGUUGUAAACUUCUUUUAUCUGGGAAGAAACCUGUUUUUUCUAAAGCAGUUGACGGUACCAGAUGAAUAAGCACCGGCUAACUCCGUGCCAGCAGCCGCGGUAAUACGGAGGGUGCAAGCGUUAUCCGGAUUCACUGGGUUUAAAGGGUGCGUAGGCGGGCAGGUAAGUCAGUGGUGAAAUCUCCGGGCUUAACCCGGAAACUGCCGUUGAUACUAUCUGUCUUGAAUAUCGUGGAGGUGAGCAGAAUAUGUCAUGUAGCGGUGAAAUGCUUAGAUAUGACAUAGAAUACCGAUUGCGAAGGCAGCUCGCUACACGAAGAUUGACGCUGAGGCACGAAAGCGUGGGGAUCAAACAG